GUUGAACGCUGGCGGCAGGCCUAACACAUGCAAGUCGAGCGUGCGUCGGACGGGUGAGUAAUGCAUGGGGACUGCCCGCUAGAGGGGGAUAACUACUGGAAGCGGUAGCUAAUACUGCAUACUAUCGGCUGACCCAUAUGGCAUUAGCUAGUGGGUGAGUUAAUGGCUCACCUAGGCGACGAUGCCUACCUGGUCUGCGAGGAUGAUCAGCCACACUGGGACGGAGACACGGCCCAGACUCCAACGGAGGCAGCGGUGGGGAAUAUUGCGCAAUGGGCGCAAGCCUGAUGCAGCCAUGCCGCGUGUAUGAAGAAGGCCCUAGGGUUGUAAAGUACUUUCAGUCGGGAGGCGUUACCGACAGAGGAAGCACCGGCUAACUCCGUGCCAGCAGCCGCGGUAAUUC
This 403-nucleotide ribosomal RNA is filed under the name uncultured bacterium. RNAcentral describes it as "partial 16S ribosomal RNA". It matches the Rfam family "Bacterial small subunit ribosomal RNA", at positions 28 to 526 of the family's 1533-position model. The record is from RNAcentral.